This is a non-coding RNA of Pelobates cultripes (western spadefoot toad), 143 nucleotides long. Lineage: Eukaryota; Metazoa; Chordata; Amphibia; Anura; Pelobatidae. The record is from the annotation of a GenBank genome assembly.
AGUUCUUUGGAAUUUUCCCAUGCUGUGUAAUUUGACUCAUAACACUCUGAUUGUUGGAUUAAGUAACCAGAGUGUUAUGAGUCAAAUUACACAGCGUGGGGGCUUGGGAGGGGGGACCCUUUUUUUUAAUUUAUUUUUUAUUU